CUUCGGUGUAGCAAUACAUUGGCGGUCCUAGUGGCGCACGGGUGAGUAACACGUGGGUGACCUGCCCUUGAGUUCGGGAUACCCCCUCGAAAGGGGGGCUAAUACCGGAUACGUUCCCCGGUUGAAAGACUGGGGAGGAAAGGUGGCGCAAGCUGCCGCUCUUGGAGGGGCUCGCGGCCUAUCAGCUAGUUGGCGGGGUAACGGCCCACCAAGGCUAUGACGGGUAGCUGGUCUGAGAGGACGACCAGCCACACGGGGACUGAGACACGGCCCCGACUCCUACGGGAGGCAGCAGUGGGGAAUUUUCCGCAAUGGGCGAAAGCCUGACGGAGUGACGCCGCGUGUGGGACGAAGGCCUUCGGGUCGUAAACCACUGUCAGUGGGAAAGAUGGGUGUCGGUGCUAAUACCAUCGGCAUCUGACGGUACCUGCAGAGGAAGCCCCGGCCAACUCUGUGCCAGCAGCCGCGGUAAGACAGAGGGGGCAAGCGUUGCUCGGAAUUACUGGGCGUAAAGGGCGCGUAGGCGGGAUGGCAAGUCGGUCGUGAAAUCCCUCGGCUCAACUGAGGAACGUCGAUCGAUACUGCUGUUCUUGAGGAUUGCAGAGGAGACUGGAAUUCCCGGUGUAGCGGUGAAAUGUGUAGAGAUCGGGAGGAACACCGGUGGCGAAGGCGGGUCUCUGGGCAAUUCCUGACGCUGAGGCGCGAAAGCGUGGGGAGCAAACGGGAUUAGAUACCCCGGUAGUCCACGCUGUAAACGAUGAGCACUA
RNAcentral lists this ribosomal RNA (767 nucleotides) under uncultured bacterium. Its description in RNAcentral is "bacterial SSU rRNA". It matches the Rfam family "Bacterial small subunit ribosomal RNA", at positions 69 to 818 of the family's 1533-position model. The record is from RNAcentral.